This is a non-coding RNA of Pelobates cultripes (western spadefoot toad), 743 nucleotides long. The record is from the annotation of a GenBank genome assembly. Lineage: Eukaryota; Metazoa; Chordata; Amphibia; Anura; Pelobatidae.
GGCACGUGGGUGUUUCAAAGGGGGAGCUAUGGGAGCUGCUUGGACUGACGGGGCUUGUGCUGGUGGUAGUGGGUGUUAUGGUGGCUGUAGGGCUCUGUGGUAUGGGUUAUAGUGGCCGUAGGUCUCUGCGGCAGUUGUUAUGGUGGCUAUAGGGCUCUGGCAGCGGUGGUUAUGGUGGCUAUAGGGCUCUGUGGUAGUGGUUAUGGUGGCUGUCAGGCUCUGCGGCAGUGGUUAUGGUGUCUGUAGGGCUCUGUGGUAGUGGUUAUGGUGGCCGUAGGGCUCUGGCGGUGGUUAUGGUGGCUGUAAGGCUCUGCGGCAGUGGUUAUGGUGGCUGUAGGGCUCUGUGGUAGUGGUUAUGGUGGCCGUAGGGCUCUGGCAGCCGUGGUUAUGGUGGCCGUAGGGCUCUGGCAGCGGUGGUUAUGGUGGCCGUAGGGCUCUGGCAGUGGUGGUUAUGGUGGCCGUAGGUCUCUGUGGCGGUGGUUAUGGCCGUAGGGCUCUGGCGUGGUUAUGGUGGCCGUAGGAUUUCGGCAGUGGUUAUGGUGGCUGUAGGGCUCUGUGGUAGUGGUUAUGGUGGCUAUAGGGGUCUGGCAGUGGUGGUUAUGGUGGCUGUAGGGCUCUGUGGUAGUGGUUAUGGUGGCUGUAGGGCUCUGUGGUAUGGGUUAUAGUGGCCGUAGGGCUCUGGCAGCGGUGGUUAUGGUGGCUAUAGGGCUCUGGCAGCGGUGGUUAUGGUGGCUAUAGGGCUC